AGGGUUUGAUCAUGGCUCAGGAUGAACGCUGGCGGUAUGCCUAACACAUGCAAGUCGAACGAAGUCUUAGGACUUAGUGGCGGACGGGUGAGUAACGCGUGAGAAUCUGCCUUCAGGAUGGGGACAACAGUUGGAAACGACUGCUAAUACCCAAUAUGCCUAUUUGGUGAAAUAAAUUUUGCCUGGAGAGGAGCUCGCGUCCGAUUAGUUAGUUGGUGAGGUAAGAGCUUACCAAGGCGGCGAUCGGUAGCUGGUCUGAGAGGAUGAGCAGCCACACUGGGACUGAGACACGGCCCAGACUCCUACGGGAGGCAGCAGUGGGGAAUUUUCCGCAAUGGGCGAAAGCCUGACGGAGCAAUACCGCGUGAGGAGGAAGGCUUUUGGGUUGUAAACCUCUUUUUUUAAGGAAGAAGAAAGUGACGGUACUUAAAGAAUCAGCAUCGGCUAACUCCGUGCCAGCAGCCGCGGUAAUACGGAGGAUGCAAGCGUUAUCCGGAAUCAUUGGGCGUAAAGCGUCCGCAGGUGGCGAUUCAAGUCUGCUGUUAAAGACAGAAGCUCAACUUCUGGUCAGCGGUGGAAACUGGAUAGCUAGAGUACGGUAGGGGUUGAGGGAAUUCCCAGUGUAGCGGUGAAAUGCGUAGAUAUUGGGAAGAACACCAGUGGCGAAGGCGCUCAACUGGGCCGUAACUGACACUCAGGGACGAAAGCUAGGGUAGCGAAAGGGAUUAGAUACCCCUGUAGUCUUAGCUGUAACCGAUGAACACUAGGCGUUGCUUGUAUCGACCCGAGCAGUGCCGUAGCCAACGCGUUAAGUGUUCCGCCUGGGGAGUACGCUCGCAAGUGUGAAACUCAAAGGAAUUGACGGGGGCCCGCACAAGCGGUGGAGUAUGUGGUUUAA
RNAcentral lists this ribosomal RNA (898 nucleotides) under uncultured cyanobacterium. RNAcentral's name for it is "bacterial SSU rRNA". It matches the Rfam family "Bacterial small subunit ribosomal RNA", at positions 8 to 949 of the family's 1533-position model. Lineage: Bacteria; Bacillati; Cyanobacteriota. The record is from RNAcentral.